CAUGGGGUGUAGACAGUGACUGGGGAAUGAAGGUGGGCAGGAGGGAAGGGGACAUUUGAACUGUCGCUCCAUACGGAUGCAACCCUGAGAGGACCUGACAGACAGUGCCAGGCAGAAGAUGACCUGGGAGCUACCUGAGUCAGUGUCACCCAUCUGGGCAAGUCCUUCAGGCAGGAGAAGCCACUGUGGAGAGCUGGCCUUCUCUGAGCAAGACUUGCCCAUUCAGCAAGCACUUUUUGGCCUCCACCGUGCUGAUGGAGUGGCAGAGAAUAAAAGAAAGAGAAGACAAUGAAGCCAAUGUAGCUGAGAAGGAGCAUUUCUGAAAUUGGAAGCUGUCCCCUACACCAAACAUGCUAAUAGAGGAAGUGAAAAUUUGGCCUGAAAACUCCAGUUUGAAGAAGGCGAGUGACAUGAUCUAAUUUUUAAUGUUUCAAGAUCCCUCUGGAGGCUGGGUGGCACAGAGUCAGGAAAGGAGGCAGGGGUG
This 484-nucleotide long non-coding RNA is filed under the name Felis catus (domestic cat). Its description in RNAcentral is "lncRNA (ENSFCAG00000051548.1)". The record is from RNAcentral. Lineage: Eukaryota; Metazoa; Chordata; Mammalia; Carnivora; Felidae.